RNAcentral lists this ribosomal RNA (506 nucleotides) under uncultured bacterium. RNAcentral's name for it is "partial 16S ribosomal RNA". It matches the Rfam family "Bacterial small subunit ribosomal RNA", at positions 28 to 523 of the family's 1533-position model. The record is from RNAcentral.
GAUGAACGCUAGCUUCAGGCUUAACACAUGCAAGUCGAGGGGUAACGAGAGGAAAGCUUGCUUUCCUUGCCGACGACCGGCGCACGGGUGAGUAACGCGUAUCCAACCUGCCCCCAACUAGGGAAUAACCUUGCGAAAGUAAGACUAAUACCCUAUAAUUUCCUCAGAUGACAUCUGACGAGGAAUAAAGAUUUAUCGGUUGUGGAUGGGGAUGCGUCUGAUUAGCUUGUUGGCGGGGUAACGGCCCACCAAGGCAACGAUCAGUAGGGGUUCUGAGAGGAAGGUCCCCCACAUUGGAACUGAGACACGGUCCAAACUCCUACGGGAGGCAGCAGUGAGGAAUAUUGGUCAAUGGGCGGAAGCCUGAACCAGCCAAGUAGCGUGCAGGAUGACGGCCCUAUGGGUUGUAAACUGCUUUUAUACAGGAAUAAAGUUAGCCUCGUGUGGUUAUUUGUAGGUACUGUAUGAAUAAGGACCGGCUAAUUCCGUGCCAGCCGCCGCGGAAA